This 418-nucleotide ribosomal RNA is filed under the name Klebsiella pneumoniae. RNAcentral's name for it is "bacterial SSU rRNA". It matches the Rfam family "Bacterial small subunit ribosomal RNA", at positions 939 to 1358 of the family's 1533-position model. Lineage: Bacteria; Pseudomonadati; Pseudomonadota; Gammaproteobacteria; Enterobacterales; Enterobacteriaceae. The record is from RNAcentral.
AUGUGGUUUAAUUCGAUGCAACGCGAAGAACCUUACCUGGUCUUGACAUCCACAGAACUUUCCAGAGAUGGAUUGGUGCCUUCGGGAACUGUGAGACAGGUGCUGCAUGGCUGUCGUCAGCUCGUGUUGUGAAAUGUUGGGUUAAGUCCCGCAACGAGCGCAACCCUUAUCCUUUGUUGCCAGCGGUCGGCCGGGAACUCAAAGGAGACUGCCAGUGAUAAACUGGAGGAAGGUGGGGAUGACGUCAAGUCAUCAUGGCCCUUACGACCAGGGCUACACACGUGCUACAAUGGCAUAUACAAAGAGAAGCGACCUCGCGAGAGCAAGCGGACCUCAUAAAGUAUGUCGUAGUCCGGAUUGGAGUCUGCAACUCGACUCCAUGAAGUCGGAAUCGCUAGUAAUCGUAGAUCAGAAUGCU